GAUGAACGCUGGCGGCGUGCCUAAUACAUGCAAGUCGAGCGAACGGACGAGAAGCUUGCUUCUCUGAUGUUAGCGGCGGACGGGUGAGUAACACGUGGAUAACCUACCUAUAAGACUGGGAUAACUUCGGGAAACCGGAGCUAAUACCGGAUAAUAUUUUGAACCGCAUGGUUCAAAAGUGAAAGACGGUCUUUCUGUCACUUAUAGAUGGAUCCGCGCUGCAUUAGCUAGUUGGUAAGGUAACGGCUUACCAAGGCAACGAUGCAUAGCCGACCUGAGAGGGUGAACGGCCAAACGGGAACUGAGACACGGUCAAGACUCCGACGGGAGGCAGCAGUAGGGAAUAUUCCGCAAUGGGCGAAAGCAUGACGGAGCAAAGCCGAGUGAGUGAUGAAGGUCUUCGGAUCGUAAAACUCUGUUAUUAGGGAAGAACAUAUGUGUAAGUAACUGUGCACAUCUUGACGGUACCUAAUCAGAAAGCAACGGCUAACUACGUG
This 497-nucleotide ribosomal RNA is filed under the name uncultured bacterium. RNAcentral's name for it is "partial 16S ribosomal RNA". It matches the Rfam family "Bacterial small subunit ribosomal RNA", at positions 28 to 507 of the family's 1533-position model. The record is from RNAcentral.